GACGAACGCUGGCGGCGUGCUUAACACAUGCAAGUCGAGCGGUGAACCACUUCGGUGGGGAUCAGCGGCGAACGGGUGAGUAACACGUGGGCAACCUGCCCCUAGCUCUGGGAUAACCCCGGGAAACCGGGGCUAAUACCGGAUAUGACCUCGAGCGGCAUCUCUCGAGGUGGAAAGAUUUAUCGGCUAGGGAUGGGCCCGCGGCCUAUCAGCUUGUUGGUGGGGUAAUGGCCUACCAAGGCGA
RNAcentral lists this ribosomal RNA (244 nucleotides) under uncultured Actinomycetes bacterium. RNAcentral's name for it is "uncultured actinobacterium partial 16S ribosomal RNA". It matches the Rfam family "Bacterial small subunit ribosomal RNA", at positions 28 to 276 of the family's 1533-position model. The record is from RNAcentral. Lineage: Bacteria; Bacillati; Actinomycetota; Actinomycetes.